Molecule: long non-coding RNA, 581 nt
Organism: Calypte anna (Anna's hummingbird)
Lineage: Eukaryota; Metazoa; Chordata; Aves; Apodiformes; Trochilidae
Exons: 5
Source: RefSeq, a predicted model, not a curated record
UUAGGUCAAGAAGCAGCAGAAGCCAAACUUGUUGGAGUUAUGGAACGUUUUCCUGAAGUACAGGAAAGCUGGUGCCCUGCCAGCUGUGGGAGCAGAAGAGGAGGAAGAUCCUGAUUCUCCCUGGAGUUCUCCCUGGGAUUCUGAGGAAGAAUCACCUGAAGAGGAAGAAAUGGAGGAGAAUCAGGAGCAGGAAGAACUCAGUAAAGAAUUAUGGGCUGCAAUUGCUGCAUGUGUCACCAAGGACAUUUUAAAUGCAAGUCCUGAUAUUUUGACAGGGACUGCAGAGAACAAGCCUGGUGAGGACUCGGGAUCUCCUUUCCAUAUGUCAUCACCAGCAAAAAUAGAGGCCUAAAGGAAGCCACUGACAACUCUGGGGUGCAGUGUCGGGAACUGGAAGAGCAUCAGCUUCAAUAUGAGCAUCAGAUGUAUUACUAUUACAUGAGUUCCUCCAAGGAUAAGAAAAGAGAACUAAGAGAGAAGUGCCAAAACCUGAAAGACCUCCUGUCAUCAUCUUCUGAGACCAGGGCUACAGUAAAAGAGCUGGAAGAGCGUGUGCAGUGGUGAGAGCCUGACACAGAGAA